AUGGUUGGUUGUGGCCAGCGAGGCUGAAGAAGCCGGGACGCGGGUCUCUGGGCCUUGGGAACCGAGCCUGUACUCACCUCCGCCCCUUCUCCCCGCCGCUGUCCGCAGCCAUGGCUCUACGCUACCCUAUGGCCGUGGGCCUCAACAAGGGCCACAAGGUGACCAAGAACGUGAGCAAGCCCAGGCACAGCCGCCGCCGCGGGCGUCUGACGAAACACACCAAGUUCGUGCGGGACAUGAUUCGGGAGGUGUGUGGCUUUGCCCCGUUCGAGCGGCGCGCCAUGGAGUUACUGAAGGACAAAGGGGCCCUCAAGUUUAUCAAGAAAAGGAUGGGGACGUACAUCCGCGCCAAGAGGAAGCGGGAGGAGCUGAGCAACGUAUUGGCCUGGCUGCUAUGAGGAAAGCUGCUGCCAAGAAAGACUGAGCCCCUCCCCUGGCUUCUCCCUGAAAUAAAGAACAGCUUGACAGGGAAAAAAAAAAAA
Molecule: RNA transcript, 482 nt
Organism: Mandrillus leucophaeus (drill)
Lineage: Eukaryota; Metazoa; Chordata; Mammalia; Primates; Cercopithecidae
Gene name: 60S ribosomal protein L36 pseudogene
Exons: 1
Source: RefSeq, a predicted model, not a curated record